GCCACGGUGGUGCAGUGGGUAGCCCCCCUCACAGUAAGAAGGUCGAGGGUUCGAAUCUCGGCCGGGGCC
RNAcentral lists this transfer RNA (69 nucleotides) under Anguilla anguilla (European eel). RNAcentral describes it as "tRNA-OTHER". Lineage: Eukaryota; Metazoa; Chordata; Actinopteri; Anguilliformes; Anguillidae. The record is from RNAcentral.